Molecule: transfer RNA, 66 nt
Filed under: Pasteurella multocida
Lineage: Bacteria; Pseudomonadati; Pseudomonadota; Gammaproteobacteria; Pasteurellales; Pasteurellaceae
Description: tRNA-OTHER
Rfam family: tRNA
About the family: Transfer RNA (tRNA) molecules are approximately 80 nucleotides in length. Their secondary structure includes four short double-helical elements and three loops (D, anti-codon, and T loops). Further hydrogen bonds mediate the characteristic L-shaped molecular structure. tRNAs have two regions of fundamental functional importance: the anti-codon, which is responsible for specific mRNA codon recognition, and the 3' end, to which the tRNAs corresponding amino acid is attached (by aminoacyl-tRNA synthetases). tRNAs cope with the degeneracy of the genetic code in two manners: having more than one tRNA (with a specific anti-codon) for a particular amino acid; and 'wobble' base-pairing, i.e. permitting non-standard base-pairing at the 3rd anti-codon position.
Source: RNAcentral
UCCUCCUUAGUUCAGUCGGUAGAACGGCGGACUAUGUCGCUGGUUCAAGUCCAGCAGGAGGAGCCA